This 253-nucleotide ribosomal RNA is filed under the name uncultured bacterium. RNAcentral describes it as "partial 16S ribosomal RNA". It matches the Rfam family "Bacterial small subunit ribosomal RNA", at positions 524 to 776 of the family's 1533-position model. The record is from RNAcentral.
UACAGAGGUCUCAAGCGUUGUUCGGAUUCAUUGGGCGUAAAGGGUGCGUAGGCGGCGCGGUAAGUCGGGUGUGAAAUCUCGGAGCUUAACUCCGAAACUGCAUUCGAUACUGCCGUGCUUGAGGACUGGAGAGGAGACUGGAAUUUACGGUGUAGCGGUGAAAUGCGUAGAUAUCGGGAGGAACACCAGUGGCGAAGGCGGCUGCCUGGGCCAGUUCUGACGCUGAGGCGCGAAAGCGUGGGGAGCAAACAGG